RNAcentral lists this ribosomal RNA (497 nucleotides) under uncultured bacterium. RNAcentral's name for it is "partial 16S ribosomal RNA". It matches the Rfam family "Bacterial small subunit ribosomal RNA", at positions 28 to 507 of the family's 1533-position model. The record is from RNAcentral.
GAUGAACGCUGGCGGCGUGCCUAAUACAUGCAAGUCGAGCGAACAGACGAGGAGCUUGCUCCUCUGACGUUAGCGGCGGACGGGUGAGUAACACGUGGAUAACCUACCUAUAAGACUGGGAUAACUUCGGGAAACCGGAGCUAAUACCGGAUAAUAUAUUGAACCGCAUGGUUCAAUAGUGAAAGACGGUUUUGCUGUCACUUAUAGAUGGAUCCGCGCCGCAUUAGCUUGUUGGUAAGGUAACGGCUUACCAAGGCAACGAUGCGUAGCCGACCUGAGAGGGUGAUCGGCCACACUGGAACUGAGACACGGUCCAGACUCCUACGGGAGGCAGCAGUAGGGAAUCUUCCGCAAUGGUCGAAAGCCUGACGGAGCAACGCCGCGUGAGUGAUGAAGGUCUUCGGAUCGUAAAACUCUGUUAUUAGGGAAGAACAAAUGUGUAAGUAACUAUGCACGUCUUGACGGUACCUAAUCAGAAAGCCACGGCUAACUACGUG